ACUUAAGUAGUUUAAAUAAAAUUUUGAUUUGUGGUGUCAGUGAUAUGAAAUUGUUCAUCUUAGGUCA
This 67-nucleotide transfer RNA is filed under the name Zelandoperla fenestrata. RNAcentral's name for it is "tRNA-His". The record is from RNAcentral. Lineage: Eukaryota; Metazoa; Arthropoda; Insecta; Plecoptera; Gripopterygidae.